Molecule: ribosomal RNA, 200 nt
Filed under: uncultured bacterium
Lineage: Bacteria
Description: partial 16S ribosomal RNA
Rfam family: Bacterial small subunit ribosomal RNA
Source: RNAcentral
UACGGAAGGUGCAAGCGUUAUCCGGAAUCACUGGGUUUAAAGGGUGCGUAGGCGGUUAGAUAAGUCAGAGGUGAAAGCUCAUCGCUCAACGAUGGAAUUGCCUUUGAUACUGUUUAACUUGAAUUAGGUUGAGGUUAGCGGAAUGAGUCAUGUAGCGGUGAAAUGCAUAGAUACCAUAAAGAACACCGAUAGCGAAGGCA